Molecule: small nuclear RNA, 174 nt
Filed under: Sinocyclocheilus rhinocerous
Lineage: Eukaryota; Metazoa; Chordata; Actinopteri; Cypriniformes; Cyprinidae
Description: U1 spliceosomal RNA (ENSSRHG00000022439.1)
Rfam family: U1 spliceosomal RNA
About the family: U1 is a small nuclear RNA (snRNA) component of the spliceosome (involved in pre-mRNA splicing).
Source: RNAcentral
AUACUUACCUGGCAGGGGAGACACCAUGAUCAAGAAGAUGGUUCUCCCAGGGUGAGGCUUGGCCAUUGCACUCCGGUUGUGGGGGAUGCGCUGGACUGUAGUGCAAUUGAUCUGUAACGUGAUUGGAUGAGAAUCUACAGACUUUUUGACAUAUUUGAUUUAUUUGUUUCAGGU